UAAAGGAACAUUUUCCUCAUCCCCUUCAGAGGAUGGGAGGUUCUGGAAUCCCAGGAAACAAGAGAACCUAAGGGAGAAAUCGUCCUCUUCUGCAAAUAUUUUUAAUAGAGUAAAUUAAAGCUUUCUUUACAAGGCCAGCAGCAUUCUCUUCCCCUCCCCUCCCCCCAAAAGGAAGCUGAGUGAGGAUCUCGAUGUGAGAGGAAGAGGUAGUAAAAAGAGGCUUUUGCCUUUGGGAAAGGUCGGUGUUACCGUGCAGCAAGGAAGAGAUUUGCAAGCAUCAGCAGCGCUAUCCCCAACCCACCCCCCAAAACAACAGAUAAAUCUUGGGAAAUCGACAAGCACUCCUAGGCUGACACAGAGGGGUGAGAGAGAUAGUGAGGGGCCCUUUUGCACCUCUGGCCUACAUAGCUGUGUGGUCUCAGUUGCCUUCUCUGCCCAGCGUUUGCAGCACUACCCCUGCCCCUAUGUCUACCUGCCUCCUCACCUGGAGGCAUGUGCACUCCUAUAUGACACCCCCAACAGACAGGGUCUAAGAUGCAUAUAAACCCACCCACUCAAGCCUCAAGCCUGGAUCUGCAUCUCUAUCCAGCAACAGGAGCAAGAACCAAGCAAGAAGGAGAAGGCUGGUUAGCAGAGAAAUGGCACCUCGGCCGGGAGCUGGAACUAGAAACUUUCUGUCAAUGUAACAGACGCGUGGGUGGUGGAGAAUUGCCAGGAAAAAAAAAAAUCAAGAUUUGGGGGAAUUACCCACAUAGAUGUAAGGUAAGUUGGUUGGUUGGCUGGUGAUGGCCUAGCCAUCUUGUCUGUUUUUUAAAAUGUGCUUCUCUGCGUUGUUUCCCUAUCUCCUCUUUCUCUACCCCACUCGCGAGGGUGAAAUUCCAACUGGGUAUUGCUGGAGGCCUAGGAUUGAUAGGGUCAUCUCCAAU
Molecule: long non-coding RNA, 926 nt
Filed under: Monodon monoceros (narwhal)
Lineage: Eukaryota; Metazoa; Chordata; Mammalia; Artiodactyla; Monodontidae
Description: lncRNA (ENSMMNG00015016314.1)
Source: RNAcentral